This 877-nucleotide long non-coding RNA is filed under the name Ananas comosus (pineapple). RNAcentral describes it as "long non-coding RNA (ACOM_LNC009663)". The record is from RNAcentral. Lineage: Eukaryota; Viridiplantae; Streptophyta; Magnoliopsida; Poales; Bromeliaceae.
AGGGCGUGGUUGGUUUGCCCUUUUUUAUUUUGGAAUCGGAAUCGGAAUGGAUAAAUUCAUGUUUGGUAUGUUAGAUUUUCAUUUCGAUUUUGAUUUUCGGGUGAAUAAAAAUUUCUCCAAUUAUUUUUUCUAAAUCUGGCCUGGAGGCUGAAUUGAAAAUUGAAUCCGUCAAUCCGGACGGAAUGAAUUUGUUUAGAUUAAAUUUAAUUUUUAAAAUUUAUUUUUUUAAUUAAAAUGUAAGUUUAGGUUUAAAAAUUAUAUUUAUAAAUUUAAUUCUAAUUUGAACUUAUAUUAAAAAUUAAAAUUCAAUCAAGUAUUUGAAUUUAAAUGUAAAUUUAAUUUAAAAUCUAAAGUUUUAUUUAAAUUUUUAUUUAAAAAUUUAAACUAAAUUUAUGGAUUCAAAUUGAAAUUUAAAUUAUAAUUUUAAGUUUGAAUUUGAAUAAAUAAAAAUAUAGUUUUAUGUUUUGAAUUACUCGUUCAAUUUAAAAUUUUAAUUUUUUGAAAAAAUAUAUUUAAAAUUAUGACAUUAUUUUAAAAUUAUGAUAGAGAUUUUUUAGUAUUUAAUUUUUAGUUUGAAUUUAGACUAAUAUAUUAUAAAGAUAAAAUUGAUAUAUUAAUUUAAUUAUAUUUUGUAUAUCUAUCUAAAUCAAAUACCGAUAAUAAAAAUAAUUUAUUUCUAUUCCGAUUCAGAUGGCAAACUAAAUAGAAUGAGAUAAUAAAUAAUUUAGAUUUCGUUUUAAGCUUAUUUUUAUUCUGAUACCGUCCAACCAAGCAAAGCUUAAAAGUCGUCGGAAAAUAGGGCAUGUUUUAGUUGUCGGAGCUUUUUUGUUUAACUUUGAACACCCAAGUCUUAGUAGUUUGUCACUUUGUUUAAUUU